Molecule: ribosomal RNA, 789 nt
Filed under: uncultured archaeon
Lineage: Archaea
Description: bacterial SSU rRNA
Rfam family: Archaeal small subunit ribosomal RNA
Source: RNAcentral
ACGGCUCAGUAACACGUGGACAACCUACCCUAUGGAGGGGGAUAACCCCGGGAAACUGGGGAUAAUACCCCAUAGACUAUGGAUGCUGGAAUGCCCUGUAGUCAAAAGGUCCGCCGCCAUAGGAUGGGUCUGCGGCCGAUUAGGUUGUUGUUGGGGUAACGGCCCAACAAGCCUGUAAUCGGUAUGGGUUGUGGGAGCAAGAGCCCGGAGAUGGAUUCUGAGACACGAAUCCAGGCCCUACGGGGCGCAGCAGGCGCGAAAACUUUACAAUGCGGGAAACCGUGAUAAGGGAACUCCGAGUGCCCGUAAAAUCGGGCUGUCCACCAGUUCAAAUAACUGGUGAAGAAAGGGCCGGGCAAGACCGGUGCCAGCCGCCGCGGUAAUACCGGCGGCUCGAGUGGUGGCCACUAUUACUGGGCUUAAAGCGUUCGUAGCUGGUCUGUUAAGUCUCUGGGGAAAUCUGCCGGCUUAACCGGCAGGCGUCUCAGGGAUACUGGCAGACUAGGGACCGGGAGAGGUGAGAGGUACUCCAGGGGUAGGAGUGAAAUCCUGUAAUCCUUGGGGGACCACCUGUGGCGAAGGCGUCUCACCAGAACGGCUCCGACAGCGAGGGACGAAAGCUGGGGGAGCAAACCGGAUUAGAUACCCGGGUAGUCCCAGCCGUAAACGAUGCGCGUUAGGUGUAUCGAUGACCACGAGUCAUCGAGGUGCCGAAGAGAAAUCGUGAAACGUGCCGCCUGGGAAGUACGGUCGCAAGGCUGAAACUUAAAGGAAUUGGCGGGGGAGCAC